GACGAACGCUGGCGGCGUGCUUAACACAUGCAAGUCGAACGGAAAGGCCCUGCUUUUGUGGGGUGCUCGAGUGGCGAACGGGUGAGUAACACGUGAGUAACCUGCCCUUGACUUUGGGAUAACUUCAGGAAACUGGGGCUAAUACCGGAUAGGAGCUCCUGCUGCAUGGUGGGGGUUGGAAAGUUUCGGCGGUUGGGGAUGGACUCGCGGCUUAUCAGCUUGUUGGUGGGGUAGUGGCUUACCAAGGCUUUGACGGGUAGCCGGCCUGAGAGGGUGACCGGCCACAUUGGGACUGAGAUACGGCCCAGACGCCUACGGGAGGCAGCAGGGGGGAAUAUUGCACAAUGGGCGGAAGCCGGAUGCAGCAACGCCGCGUGCGGGAUGACGGCCUUCGGGUUGUAAACCGCUUUCGCCUGUGACGAAGCGUGAGUGACGGUAAUGGGUAAAGAAGCACCGGCUAACUACGUG
RNAcentral lists this ribosomal RNA (468 nucleotides) under uncultured bacterium. RNAcentral describes it as "partial 16S ribosomal RNA". It matches the Rfam family "Bacterial small subunit ribosomal RNA", at positions 28 to 507 of the family's 1533-position model. The record is from RNAcentral.